AAAUGGUGCCGUAACUUCGGGAGAAGGCACGCUGAUAUGUAGGUGAAGUGAUUUACUCAUGGAGCUGAAAUCAGUCGAAGAUACCAGCUGGCUGCAACUGUUUAUUAAAAACACAGCACUGUGCAAACACGAAAGUGGACGUAUACGGUGUGACGCCUGCCCGGUGCCGGAAGGUUAAUUGAUGGGGUUAUCCGUAAGGAGAAGCUCUUGAUCGAAGCCCCGGUAAACGGCGGCCGUAACUAUAACGGUCCUAAGGUAGCGAAAUUCCUUGUCGGGUAAGUUCCGACCUGCACGAAUGGCGUAAUGAUGGCCAGGCUGUCUCCACCCGAGACUCAGUGAAAUUGAACUCGCUGUGAAGAUGCAGUGUACCCGCGGCAAGACGGAAAGACCCCGUGAACCUUUACUAUAGCUUGACACUGAACACUGGUCCUUGAUGUGUAGGAUAGGUGGGAGGCUUUGAAGUGUGGACGCCAGUCUGCAUGGAGCCAUCCUUGAAAUACCACCCUUUAAUGGCUGGUGUUCUAACGUGGACCCGUUACCCGGGUUGCGGACAGUGUCUGGUGGGUAGUUUGACUGGGGCGGUCUCCUCCUAAAGAGUAACGGAGGAGCACGAAGGUUAGCUAAUCCUGGUCGGACAUCAGGAGGUUAGUGCAAAGGCAUAAGCUAGCUUGACUGCGAGAGUGACGGCUCGAGCAGGUGCGAAAGCAGGUCUUAGUGAUCCGGUGGUUCUGAAUGGAAGGGCCAUCGCUCAACGGAUAAAAGGUACUCCGGGGAUAACAGGCUGAUACCGCCCAAGAGUUCAUAUCGACGGCGGUGUUUGGCACCUCGAUGUCGGCUCAUCACAUCCUGGGGCUGAAGUAGGUCCCAAGGGUAUGGCUGUUCGCCAUUUAAAGUGGUACGCGAGCUGGGUUUAGAACGUCGUGAGACAGUUCGGUCCCUAUCUGCCGUGGGCGCUGGAGAAUUGAGGGGGGCUGCUCCUAGUACGAGAGGACCGGAGUGGACGCAUCACUGGUGUUCGGGUUGUCAUGCCAAUGGCAUUGCCCGGUAGCUAAAUGCGGAAGAGAUAAGUGCUGAAAGCAUCUAAGCACGAAACUUGCCCCGAGAUGAGUUCUCCCUGAGACUAUAAGUCUCCUGAAGGAACGUUAAAGACGAUGACGUUGAUAGGUCGGGUGUGUAAGUGUAGCGAUACAUUGAGCUAACCGAUACUAAUGAACCGUGAGGCUUAACCUUACAACGCCGAAG
This 1242-nucleotide ribosomal RNA is filed under the name Citrobacter freundii. RNAcentral describes it as "partial 23S ribosomal RNA". It matches the Rfam family "Bacterial large subunit ribosomal RNA", at positions 1720 to 2925 of the family's 2925-position model. Lineage: Bacteria; Pseudomonadati; Pseudomonadota; Gammaproteobacteria; Enterobacterales; Enterobacteriaceae. The record is from RNAcentral.